Molecule: ribosomal RNA, 637 nt
Filed under: uncultured bacterium
Lineage: Bacteria
Description: bacterial SSU rRNA
Rfam family: Bacterial small subunit ribosomal RNA
Source: RNAcentral
UUAGUUGGUGGGGUAAGAGCUCACCAAGGCGAUGAUAGAUAGGCGGCCUUAACGGGUGGUCGCCCACACUGGGAUUGAGAUACGGCCCAGACUCCUACGGGAGGCAGCAGUCGAGAAUAGUCUACAAUGGCCGGAAGGCUGAUAGUGCGACGCCGCGUGAACGAGGGAGCCCUUCGGGGUGUAAAGUUCUUUUCUAUACGAGCAGUGCUAUAUAUAUGGAUAGUAUAUAUAGAGGGAUAGUAGUAUAGGAAUAAGCAACGGCUAACUCCGUGCCAGCAGCCGCGGUAACACGGGGGUUGCGAGCGUUGUCCGGAAUUACUAGGCGUAAAGGGCAGGUAGGCGGAUCUACGAGUUUUUUGUUAAAGGCUACGGCUCAACUGUAGUAGAGCAGGAGAUACUGUAGGUCUGGAAUGCGGUAGGGGAAGACAGAAUUCCUGGUGUAGCGGUGGAAUGCGCAGAGAUCAGGAGGAAUACCGAAGGCGGAGGCAGUCUUCUAGGCCGUAAUUGACGCUUAACUGCGAAGGUGUGGGGAUCAAACAGGAUUAGAUACCCUGGUAGUCCACACAGCAAACGAUAAUCACUAGAUGUCGGGUUCUAGAUGGAUUCGGUGUCGGAGCUAACGCGAUAAGUGAUCGCC